RNAcentral lists this ribosomal RNA (1373 nucleotides) under uncultured bacterium. Its description in RNAcentral is "bacterial SSU rRNA". It matches the Rfam family "Bacterial small subunit ribosomal RNA", at positions 29 to 1394 of the family's 1533-position model. The record is from RNAcentral.
UUGAACGCUGGCGGCAUGCCUUACACAUGCAAGUCGAACGGCAGCAUGAUCUAGCUUGCUAGAUUGAUGGCGAGUGGCGAACGGGUGAGUAAUACAUCGGAACGUGCCCUGUAGUGGGGGAUAACUAGUCGAAAGAUUAGCUAAUACCGCAUACGACCUGAGGGUGAAAGUGGGGGACCGCAAGGCCUCAUGCUAUAGGAGCGGCCGAUGUCUGAUUAGCUAGUUGGUGGGGUAAAGGCCCACCAAGGCGACGAUCAGUAGCUGGUCUGAGAGGACGAUCAGCCACACUGGGACUGAGACACGGCCCAGACUCCUACGGGAGGCAGCAGUGGGGAAUUUUGGACAAUGGGCGAAAGCCUGAUCCAGCAAUGCCGCGUGUGUGAAGAAGGCCUUCGGGUUGUAAAGCACUUUUGUCCGGAAAGAAAUGGCUCUGGUUAAUACCUGGGGUCGAUGACGGUACCGGAAGAAUAAGGACCGGCUAACUACGUGCCAGCAGCCGCGGUAAUACGUAGGGUCCAAGCGUUAAUCGGAAUUACUGGGCGUAAAGCGUGCGCAGGCGGUUGUGCAAGACCGAUGUGAAAUCCCCGAGCUUAACUUGGGAAUUGCAUUGGUGACUGCACGGCUAGAGUGUGUCAGAGGGGGGUAGAAUUCCACGUGUAGCAGUGAAAUGCGUAGAGAUGUGGAGGAAUACCGAUGGCGAAGGCAGCCCCCUGGGAUAACACUGACGCUCAUGCACGAAAGCGUGGGGGAGCAAACAGGAUUAGAUACCCUGGUAGUCCACGCCCUAAAACGAUGUCAACUAGUUGUUGGGGAUUCAUUUCCUUAGUAACGUAGCUAACGCGUGAAGUUGACCGCCUGGGGAGUACGGUCGCAAGAUUAAAACUCAAAGGAAUUGACGGGGACCCGCACAAGCGGUGGAUGAUGUGGAUUAAUUCGAUGCAACGCGAAAAACCUUACCUACCCUUGACAUGCCACUAACGAAGCAGAGAUGCAUUAGGUGCUCGAAAGAGAAAGUGGACACAGGUGCUGCAUGGCUGUCGUCAGCUCGUGUCGUGAGAUGUUGGGUUAAGUCCCGCAACGAGCGCAACCCUUGUCUCUAGUUGCUACGAAAGGGCACUCUAGAGAGACUGCCGGUGACAAACCGGAGGAAGGUGGGGAUGACGUCAAGUCCUCAUGGCCCUUAUGGGUAGGGCUUCACACGUCAUACAAUGGUGCAUACAGAGGGUUGCCAAGCCGCGAGGUGGAGCUAAUCCCAGAAAAUGCAUCGUAGUCCGGAUCGUAGUCUGCAACUCGACUACGUGAAGCUGGAAUCGCUAGUAAUCGCGGAUCAGCAUGCCGCGGUGAAUACGUUCCCGGGUCUUGUACACACCGCC